This 141-nucleotide small nuclear RNA is filed under the name Camponotus floridanus (Florida carpenter ant). Its description in RNAcentral is "U4 spliceosomal RNA". It matches the Rfam family "U4 spliceosomal RNA". From Rfam's summary of the family: U4 small nuclear RNA (U4 snRNA) is a component of the major U2-dependent spliceosome. The structure of U4 snRNA from yeast and human has been reported. The record is from RNAcentral. Lineage: Eukaryota; Metazoa; Arthropoda; Insecta; Hymenoptera; Formicidae.
AUCUUUGCGCAGAGGCGAUAUCGUAACCAAUGAGGUUCUACCGAGGUGCGAUUAUUGCUAGUUGAAAACUUUUACCAAUACCCCGCCAUGACGAUGUGAAAUACCAUCGGCUACGGCAAUUUUUGAAAGUUUCUGCGGAAA